AAAUUGAAGAGUUUGAUCAUGGCUCAGAUUGAACGCUGGCGGCAGGCCUAACACAUGCAAGUCGAACGGUAACAGGAAACAGCUUGCUGUUUCGCUGACGAGUGGCGGACGGGUGAGUAAUGUCUGGGAAACUGCCUGAUGGAGGGGGAUAACUACUGGAAACGGUAGCUAAUACCGCAUAACGUCGCAAGACCAAAGAGGGGGACCUUCGGGCCUCUUGCCAUCGGAUGUGCCCAGAUGGGAUUAGCUUGUUGGUGGGGUAACGGCUCACCAAGGCGACGAUCCCUAGCUGGUCUGAGAGGAUGACCAGCCACACUGGAACUGAGACACGGUCCAGACUCCUACGGGAGGCAGCAGUGGGGAAUAUUGCACAAUGGGCGCAAGCCUGAUGCAGCCAUGCCGCGUGUAUGAAGAAGGCCUUCGGGUUGUAAAGUACUUUCAGCGGGGAGGAAGGGAGUAAAGUUAAUACCUUUGC
Molecule: ribosomal RNA, 475 nt
Filed under: Escherichia coli
Lineage: Bacteria; Pseudomonadati; Pseudomonadota; Gammaproteobacteria; Enterobacterales; Enterobacteriaceae
Description: bacterial SSU rRNA
Rfam family: Bacterial small subunit ribosomal RNA
Source: RNAcentral